UGGGGAAUAUUGGGCAAUGGGCGCAAGCCUGACCCAGCAACGCCGCGUGAAGGAAGAAGGCUUUCGGGUUGUAAACUUCUUUUCUGGGGGACGAAGAAAGUGACGGUACCCCAGGAAUAAGCCACGGCUAACUACGUGCCAGCAGCCGCGGUAAUACGUAGGUGGCAAGCGUUAUCCGGAUUUAUUGGGUGUAAAGGGCGUGUAGGCGGGAAUGCAAGUCAGAUGUGAAAACUAUGGGCUCAACCCAUAGCCUGCAUUUGAAACUGUAUUUCUUGAGUGCUGGAGAGGCAAUCGGAAUUCCGU
RNAcentral lists this ribosomal RNA (303 nucleotides) under uncultured bacterium. RNAcentral describes it as "bacterial SSU rRNA". It matches the Rfam family "Bacterial small subunit ribosomal RNA", at positions 355 to 672 of the family's 1533-position model. The record is from RNAcentral.